ACCAACGUUCAAAUCACACUGGGUGCGCCAGUUCUCGUCCGAUCACUGAAGCUAAGCAGUGUUGAGCGUGGUUAGUACUUGGAUGGGUGACCGCCUGGGAACACCACGUGCCGUUGGUU
Ribosomal RNA from Diachasmimorpha longicaudata, 119 nucleotides. NCBI's taxonomy places the organism in Eukaryota, Metazoa, Arthropoda, Insecta, Hymenoptera, Braconidae. The record is from RefSeq and is a predicted model, not a curated record.